CAGCUUCUCUCAUCUGAGUUCAUAGGCUUACUACAACUCACUAGACUUUAAGAUUUUACAUUUUUGGGCAAGGUGGCUGCGGGACCAAGCUGGUGGGGAAGGACCUUCGUAACACCUGCGUGCAUAUGCAACGGCUUCCCCGAUCCCCACCCCCGGCGGCCUCCACUUCCCCCGCCACCCGCCGCACGCCCGGCCCUAGAACGAGCACCAGGUGGGCCGGCACGAGAACGAGCACCAGGUGGGCCGGCACGAGGGCGAGCACCAGGUGGGAUGGCACGAGAACGAACACCAAGUGAGCCGGCCUGGAGCCCUGCCCCUGAGCCCCCGCCCGAUGAGGUCAGCCAUCUGGACGCGGAGGGGGGGGGAAUUGAGUCUGUUGUACCAGACACCAGACCUUGAGAAUAUGCUGAUCUGGAAUGGCUCUGUGUCUCAUUUGAACCAUCCAAUAGAAAUGAUUCUGUAUUUCGCCUCAUUUGAAAGACUCUGUGUUUCACCUC
Molecule: long non-coding RNA, 497 nt
Filed under: Cricetulus griseus (Chinese hamster)
Lineage: Eukaryota; Metazoa; Chordata; Mammalia; Rodentia; Cricetidae
Description: lncRNA (ENSCGRG00015030407.1)
Source: RNAcentral